CGGGCAUGCUGGGAGAGACUUU
Molecule: microRNA, 22 nt
Filed under: Homo sapiens (human)
Lineage: Eukaryota; Metazoa; Chordata; Mammalia; Primates; Hominidae
Description: hsa-miR-6862-5p
Source: miRBase by way of RNAcentral